RNAcentral lists this long non-coding RNA (1346 nucleotides) under Felis catus (domestic cat). RNAcentral's name for it is "lncRNA (ENSFCAG00000040885.2)". The record is from RNAcentral. Lineage: Eukaryota; Metazoa; Chordata; Mammalia; Carnivora; Felidae.
CUGCAGCCCAGCAGCCGGGCUGGCGGCCGGGCGCAACGUGGAUGCCAGGCUGAGCUCGGGCUCUGACCUCUCCUGGGUGCCCGGAUCUGUAGGGCAGACUUCCCCCGGGAGGGGCGGCGGGCACAGCGCCGGGCCCACCCACACGAGAGCGCUUUGCUUCUUGCAAAACAGCGAGCUAAGCACGUCAACCGUUGGCAUCGGGACGGCAAUCAAAAUCAAGACCUUUUGGAGCCCGUCUUCUUGUACCCAGAGGGAAACUGAGGCCUGGACCCAGGCCUAAUUCCCGUCUGGCUUCUGAGCCAUUGCCAUGAGUCAGAAGCCAAGAGUUUCUUUUCGUUCCUUCUCGUGCAAUGAAACGGCACACAGUCCUGCGUGCUCCGCGGCUAAGGCAGCCCUGUCGCCCAGGGCGGACGCAGGAUGAGCCCCUAGUCCGCGCUCCGGGACUUUUCCGCUCUUUCUCGCCCAUCGCACGUCGAAAGAAGAUCUUUCAAAACCUUCGAGCGGCAAAUUGCAAUCCGAGAAAUGAAGCAAAGAGAAAAUGCUCCCCGAGCCAGUGGAUAUCUGUAACAGCAGGUUUCACUUAUAGCAAAGACCCUUCUCUUCGCCUUGUAAAGAACCAGGAGAUGACUCAUCAGUGGGCAGCAGUUGUUAAAAAAAAAAAAAAAAAGAAAGAAAGAAAAAGAAAGGAAAAAAAGGUAUAUGGCCAAAGAAUACAGAGUCCUUGUUCGAAAUGAAAGAGCUUUAAUAUAUUUAUAUUUAUCACUCUGGUUGCAUUUAUAAGAUCAUUGAAAUUCAAGACUGUCUCGUUUCGCUAGCAACGGGAGAGAGAGAACUGCUUCCCACAUGUGACUUUCUCUGAUAACCCAAGCUUUGUAUCCUUUGAAGCUCCAACACUUGUUAAAGUAGAAUCUUUUUUUUUUUUUUUUUUUUUUGAUAAAAAUUUCCUAAAUGUCACACGUGUUUUGCAGCCUUUUGGAGCAGGCUUUCCUGAAACAUAAUUGAGUCUUUGUUGAGGGUCAGCCCGUGUUCUGCUAACUCGUGGGGAGGGUCAGCGCUGCGGGCACUCUGGCAUUACACGGGCUGGGCUCACGGGACACUCUGCUGCUGUCACCAGAUGAAACCUGGGGUGGUUGCAAAUCCCUGGGCACAGCCCCGUCCCCAUCUGCAGCGAUGGGACAGAGUCUGUGGGCUCCGAGGGAUGCUGGGAGCGUUAGGGGACCUGCUGCGUACUUGAAGUGUUCCCUAUGAUGCUUGGGAGAUAGUAAGCAUUUUUUUAAGGGUAGUCAAGAAAAAGCGUGGAUAAUAACAUAAAUAAAAUGAAUAAGCAAAAUAAAAAUGUAAUGAAA